Molecule: long non-coding RNA, 904 nt
Organism: Labeo rohita (rohu)
Lineage: Eukaryota; Metazoa; Chordata; Actinopteri; Cypriniformes; Cyprinidae
Exons: 3
Source: RefSeq, a predicted model, not a curated record
CUUUUUUUGCGUACACGCUCUAGUUUUGUCACCGAGAACUUCCAUGAGUGUUAGCAUCGUGUCAUCAGCUUCCAAGUGAACAGAGAAAGCGCGCCACGUGACACAUGUCCAAAACAGACGUAUCUGUGGGUAAACAUUUUCCAAGCUAAAAAUUGCAGUGUUAAUGCGAUAAGAAUGUACUUGUCCAUACCCAAACCCCUUCUUGAGACCCAUCUUUUCAGGUCCAGUCCGUUUUUGAACCAAAAACGUCCUGUAUGUGCGCCUUGACGGACGUGAAAUGAAGUAUAUUACAGGGAGGAACCCAAGCAAGACCCACGAGGAGAAGGUUGGAGAGGCGCGCGCGAGUCCAGCGACGGCACGGCAGACCCAUGUGGGCGCGGGCCUCGGAAGGCGCGUUUGUGUGUGACGGAAGCGAGAGAGCAGCCUGCAACGUCAGACAAAGACAACAGUACAGAAAUGAAAGUGUGCGAAGCCCCCACUGUGGGUGUAUUCCCUGUAGAAAGCCUAAAAGCAGAGCCGUGUUUGAACGGAGAGCGCGAGACAUUGCCUUGGCUGGCCGAUUGAGUUGGUCAAUGUAGAAAAUGUGUGUGUAGUAAACAGUAGGCAGUAACAGUGAUGAAUGCAUAGCAGUACGUGGAUGCGUGUUGUUGUCAGUGUUCAUGAGUCUUACACAAUGUGUGAGAAGAGAUCCCUUUGUGUGUCUUUGUUGGUGUGUGUGUCAGAGGCUCCCAAAGAAGUGAAAUGAUGGCCAGAGAAGCCAAUGAAUUAGUUGCGCAUUGAGCAGUUUUUAUCCGAGCCAGCAUAAAUGAACACGAUACUGUUGAUAUAUGCGCCAGCAUACGGCCAGCGUCCGUGGGCCGGAAACUCCCCUUCAGCAAGGCGCCAGAGGAUAGGCCGACGUCCU